UUUCUAUGAUGAUCAACUUCAGUUCUGCUUCCGAACGAGAGCAAUCAACCUCUUGUGGACACCUUCAUACCAAAAAACUUUUUUCUGAAUU
This 91-nucleotide small nucleolar RNA is filed under the name Agaricus bisporus var. burnettii JB137-S8. The record is from RNAcentral. Lineage: Eukaryota; Fungi; Basidiomycota; Agaricomycetes; Agaricales; Agaricaceae.